RNAcentral lists this ribosomal RNA (393 nucleotides) under uncultured bacterium. RNAcentral's name for it is "partial 16S ribosomal RNA". It matches the Rfam family "Bacterial small subunit ribosomal RNA", at positions 523 to 918 of the family's 1533-position model. The record is from RNAcentral.
CUACGGAGGAUCCGAGCGUUAUCCGGAUUUAUUGGGUUUAAAGGGAGCGUAGGUGGACAGUUAAGUCAGUUGUGAAAGUUUGCGGCUCAACCGUAAAAUUGCAGUUGAUACUGGCUGUCUUGAGUACAGUAGAGGUGGGCGGAAUUCGUGGUGUAGCGGUGAAAUGCUUAGAUAUCACGAAGAACUCCGAUUGCGAAGGCUGCUCACUGGACUGCAACUGACACUGAUGCUCGAAAGUGUGGGUAUCAAACAGGAUUAGAUACCCUGGUAGUCCACACAGUAAACGAUGAAUACUCGCUGUUUGCGAUAUACAGUAAGCGGCCAAGCGAAAGCAUUAAGUAUUCCACCUGGGGAGUACGCCGGCAACGGUGAAACUUAAAGGAAUUGACGGGG